RNAcentral lists this microRNA precursor (107 nucleotides) under Brugia malayi. RNAcentral describes it as "microRNA bma-mir-9509 precursor". Lineage: Eukaryota; Metazoa; Nematoda; Chromadorea; Rhabditida; Onchocercidae. The record is from miRBase by way of RNAcentral.
UCCUUCAACUUUGAAAUUUGCAAUUGCAAUGCUGAAUACAUAUUACUGAAUCCUACAAUAAAUAUGUAGUUCGGCUUUGCAAUUGCAAACUUCAAGUAUAGUUAUAU